Rosa rugosa (rugosa rose) is the source of this 1409-nucleotide long non-coding RNA. RefSeq lists it as uncharacterized. The record is from RefSeq and is a predicted model, not a curated record. NCBI's taxonomy places the organism in Eukaryota, Viridiplantae, Streptophyta, Magnoliopsida, Rosales, Rosaceae. The transcript is spliced from 6 exons.
AAGCUCGAGCACCAGUUCCUCUGAGUCCCCUUCGAGCACUACAAGAAGACGAUCCGUGCCAACCACCGCAUCACCGAGAAGGAGAUGUCCGCCGUCAUCAACGACGCCGUCAGUCACCUCAAUUCCCUCGUCUCCAGGCUCCAAGGCCUCAAACGAAAGGAAGAGGGGAGCAAGCCUGAGCACUUACAGGUGCAGAGGUGCCGGGCGAGGCUGGACCAUUUAGAAUGAGCAGAUGUGGAGAAUUUGUCAGAAUGGAACAAUGUGAGGUUGAACAGGAUCCUUGUGGACUAUAUGUUGAGGAUGUCUUAUUAUGAUACUGCGGUGAGGUGAAGAUGGCCGAAAGCCAAAAUAUUCAGGAACUGCAGUUUGGAGCCACUGCCUCAAAAGUUUUAUGAGUCAUAUUUGAAGAGGUGCCUUAGUUUACAGUUCAACUCUCACUGAAAGAGUGUUCAUUCUGGUUGAAGGCUGUAGAAUGUGUACGAAAUGCUUCUGAUGGUACCUUGAUGCAUUCUUUGACGGGUCACAAUGAAUCUGUAAGUAGUCAGUGGUGUUUUUGCAGUUUCCUUUAUUCUACUUUGAAUUUCUUCAUAAGUUGUGUUCUUGAAUGCUUUAGUUGCAAUAUGUGCCUGUGGUUCUGUGUUCUGACAAUGUUGCAAGUAAUUUUAAAAGAUUACUUAUUGUACUUGUACACUCUUGUUAAUGCUUUCAUCAGAUUGACUCUCAUUCCUCUUGUUUAUUACUUUUAUUGGCUUAAUAUUAAUUAACUUUUGUUGAACUGUAGGUACCAAUUCACUUCUCAUUUGCUUUGAAGGGUUGCACUUGCAGGCGGACUUAAAAAGCUGGACUUCAAAAGUUGGACAGAACUAAAGACUAAAGAGGAUCACUACAAAGCGGAAAGUGCUAGUACUCUAUGACGUAUGAUUUAAUUUCAGAUGUUUAGUAUACUCGGUACCAUUAAAUGUAUCUGAUUGUCUAAUUUAUUAUUAUCAGUAGUGUGUAUUACCAUGUAUAUAUUGUGGAUACAAGACUGAUGACCAGGAAGAAAAAAGGGGGAAAAAAAAGUAAAACAAAAGCUCCAGUUUGGUGCCAAUUAAAAAUGGCACCAAUUUUUUUUUUUUAAAUUUGGGGGAUGUUUCCCACUGAUGUAAGAGUUGCCAAUUAAAGAUAUAAUGGUGUAAAAGAUGAUGUGGCACCUGACAAAAGUAAUAUGAGAGAGUGAUGUGACACACAUGUCAGUUUGGUUAAAAAUAGCCCACCGAUAAUGUAUUGGUGCCCUAUGUUCCAAAGGAAACUGGGGCAAAGAGCACUGUCAAGGUUUGGGUGGCUGCAUAGUGGCUAAUGAAGAUUUUGGUGGCUUUUGUGAGUAAUGAGCACCCUUAUUGGAGGGUGUCCUUUGGCCAAUUUUCUAG